GGACAACUUUUGUAUGCAUCUUCCAGCAUAAAACACCCUUGAGAAAAAAUAGAAGGCAAGCUAAAAGACAAAGGACCACUAAAGAUUUUAUUAUGCUAUGGGUGUGGUGCCAUAAAUUUUAGGAGAUUCAGGCAAGAGUUGCCAAGCCUGAAUUUAAACAGCAUGUUGUUUUUAAAAGUUGUAACAUUAGUGACGAACAAGUCCGUAUUCUUACAUAAUUAAUCCAGUGUGAAAUAGAGUGACUGGAAGACAUCCAGUGGUUUAAAAAUAACUCAAUCAUUUAUAAGAUCCACAGCGCUAUAGGAUUUAACAUUAAGGCACAGGAAGUGAAGGCAUCUUGGUACGGAGCAUGCUGUUUUAAUUCCACAAAAGCUUUGUGAAUUCGGCUUAACGGAGCUCCCUGCACAACAGCCCUGUGCCACGCAGAAGCAAGGGAGGUUCCUCUCAAGUGGUCACAGACUGGGAGGAAGACAAAGCUACACAGGGACCAAAGGAGUGUCUUCAGAUGAAAUGUAAUCAUGUGACUCAAGGCAGAAGCAGGCAAGACGUCUGGAAGGGACUUGAACAUUUAUGCCUCAGUGCUGCUGCUUGACUUCCUCCAGAGAAGGGAGAGCAUGCUUGGAUGUUUGCCAAAAGGGAGAUCACAGUUCUUUCUAAUGCAGACCUUGCAAGGCCUAGCACAAGGCAAAGACACUUGAGCACUGGAAUAGUUUCUUGGAGACUCUGAUGGCUCUUCUGCAUAUGGUUGGAAAGAAUCACAGUGCUGGUGCUGCUGCAUUCCCAGUCUGUCACCGAGAACAACUUCAAAAUACAGAGGUUGCAUGAGACUUCCCUCCAGAACAUCCUCUUACUGCAAGAAGCUGAAGAAAAGUCUCACGUGUUCCCCACCAGUGAAAACAUUCCUGCAGGCUUCACACCCAUUGGCAGCUCACCCUGCGAGCUUCAACCAAGGGUGAUGCAUCUGACAGCAGAAGUGACCAUGCUGCACAGUGGCUGCUUGCUCCUCACCUGCCCAACGGGCAAGUGACAGCGUUGGGCCCAAAGCCUCUGGGACUUUGCUUCAGGAACUGCUCUAAGCCUCUGCCUCAGGAGGCUGUUGCUGCAGGGAAUUUUCCUCCAUCAGCAGGAACUGAAGCAGCUGCAGGAGCUGCAGAUGUAGACUCUAAAUCAUCGUGUCUUUCCCUCUUUCAGGACAAGCUCCUGAGAGAAUUUGGUUUACCACACAUCUGACGUGUGUUUAUGUGUUGCGGAAUGGGAGUAAUGCAAUGAUUCUCAGGGCAUAACUAUUGUGAAAAAAUCAGAGGAGUUU
This 1309-nucleotide long non-coding RNA is filed under the name Gallus gallus (chicken). Its description in RNAcentral is "lncRNA (ENSGALG00010011290.1)". Lineage: Eukaryota; Metazoa; Chordata; Aves; Galliformes; Phasianidae. The record is from RNAcentral.